GUAGGUGGCAAGCGUUGUCCGGGAAUUAUUGGGGCGUAAAGCGCGCGCAGGCGGUUCUUUAAGUCUGAUGUGAAAGCCCACGGGCUCAACCGUGGAGGGUCAUUGGAAACUGGAGAACUUGAGUACAGAAGAGGAAAGCGGAAUUCCACGUGUAGCGGUGAAAUGCGUAGAGAUGUGGAGGAACACCAGUGGCGAAGGCGGCUUUCUGGUCUGUAACUGACGCUGAGGCGCGAAAGCGUGGGGAGCAAGCAGGAUUAGAUACCCUGGUAGUCCACGCCGUAAACGAUGAGUGCUAAGUGUUAGGGGGUUUCCGCCCCUUAGUGCUGCAGCUAACGCAUUAAGCACUCCGCCUGGGGAGUACGGCCGCAAAGGCUG
RNAcentral lists this ribosomal RNA (375 nucleotides) under uncultured organism. RNAcentral describes it as "partial 16S ribosomal RNA". It matches the Rfam family "Bacterial small subunit ribosomal RNA", at positions 527 to 896 of the family's 1533-position model. The record is from RNAcentral.